RNAcentral lists this small RNA (25 nucleotides) under Arabidopsis thaliana (thale cress). RNAcentral describes it as "snRNA_12933". The record is from RNAcentral. Lineage: Eukaryota; Viridiplantae; Streptophyta; Magnoliopsida; Brassicales; Brassicaceae.
CCGGGAAGUCCUCGUGUUGCAUCCC